Molecule: long non-coding RNA, 951 nt
Organism: Leptidea sinapis
Lineage: Eukaryota; Metazoa; Arthropoda; Insecta; Lepidoptera; Pieridae
Exons: 2
Source: RefSeq, a predicted model, not a curated record
CGUAUCACCGCUCUUCGAGAACACUUCUCUUAAAGCCGCGCCUACUAUCGGAAUACUGGGUCUCGAAAUCUCGAGCGAUUGCCAAUUCCGUGGCCAUCUGGAGGGCAAAGCCAAAUUGGCUUCGAAGAAGCUGGGCGUCAUCAAUAGAGCACGGCAAUACUUCAAGCCGGCCCACAUUCUAGCGCUCUACAAAGCGCAGAUCCGGCCACACAUAGAGUAUUGCUGUCAUUUCUGGUCUGGCGCACCCCAGUAUCAGCUCGAUCCAUUUGACCGCGUGUAACGCAGAGCAGCUCGAAUUGCCGGCGACCCAGUGCUCUGCGAACGGCUGGAUCACUUGGCGUUGCGUAGAGACGUCGCUUCAUUGUGUGUCUUCUACCGCAUUUAUUACGGGGAGUGUUCCAAAGAGCUGUUUAACCUGAUUCCUGCCGCCGAAUUCCACCUUCGCCACGCCACGACACGCCACAAGUAAGGAUAUCAUCCCCACCAUCUGGAUGUGUGGCGAUCCUCCACAGUGCGGUUUUCAAGGAGCUUUCUUCCUCGUUCUACAACGCUGUGGAAUGAGCUUCCUUGUGCGGUGUUUCCGGGACGUUACGCAAAAAAAGCGCGUACACCUUCCUUAAAGGCCGGCAACGCUCUUGUGAUUCCUCUGGUGUUGCAAGAGAAUGUGGGCGGCGGUGAUCACUUAACACCAGGUGACCCGUACGCUCGUUUGUCCUCCUACUCCAUAAAAAAAAAUGCUGGUAAUGAAGGUAGCCGUCUGCCAGAGUUGCGUCGAGGAAGCUUUGAACUCAUCCAGUUCAGCAACAGCUUAAGCAGCUCGAACAAACAUUAGGAGAUCAGCAAGAAGAAACAAAUCAGGACAUUGAAAUAAAUUAAAUCCAGUUUGGUUGUAUACUUGUGCAUAGAAAUCAACAAUUAUCUGCUUGUUUCAUUAAACACUGAAUAUGAAUA